This 292-nucleotide unclassified non-coding RNA is filed under the name Hevea brasiliensis (rubber tree). The record is from RNAcentral. Lineage: Eukaryota; Viridiplantae; Streptophyta; Magnoliopsida; Malpighiales; Euphorbiaceae.
AUUUCUAUUUUUUAUAUAUUUAUAUACUUUUCAAUAUUUAUUUAAUUUAAUUCUGGUUCUACCCCAGUUGAACCUUUUAACCAUGACUCUUUGCUUUUAUCAGUUUGCAGAACAGGCCAGGUUUGAAUAUCUUGAUACAAUGAAUGUUGAAGUUCUAAAUCCUACAUGAUUGAUUUGAUUUUAAAUAUGUUAUCUAAGACAAAUACAAUACCGAUAGCAAACUAAACUCACACAAAAGAAAACUAUAACAGGUCAAUGCUAUAAUAAAAUCCUCAAAAAAUAAAGUUGGAAA